CGACACCUGCGGGCCCGGAGGGAGGCAGGGCCCAGGACGCAAGGUGGCGACAAGGCGCGUCUGGCCCCAGGUAAUGGGGGUCACGGUGGUGGCCGUGAGCGGGGGAGGUUGCCUAGGAUGGCAGGGCCGGAGGCCUCGGCGGGGACGGGGACACCGGAUGAGAGCUCCUGAUAAGGGUGAGAGCCACCAUCGUGGUCACAGAUCCGCUGAGAGGGCAUCUCACGACACACUGUGACAUCAGGAAAAAUGGUGCUUUGCAUACUUGCUCCAGUGGACGGAUCUCAAGCUGUCUGGGGACCAGGGUUCUCAAGGACAUGGUGCUGGAACCUAGAUCUUUCAGAGAUCAAAUCAGGACAGUCCUAGGGGCUGUGGGGUCACCUUCUCUUCCUCUUUCCUGCUACCCCAAGUCAUCCGCAUUGUGUAUUAUGCAGUGGGAAAGCGCCUUGGCCUGGACCUCAAGCUACCCACGUUCUAAUCCUGCCUCUGUCAUGUCCUAGAGCUGUGGCCUCAGGUAAGUCACCUUACCUCUCUGGGCCUCAGUUUCCUCAUUUGUAGUCUUAGGUUUGUUUAGCUGACCUCCAAGUUUCCUUUCUAUCUGAAAAUUUUAAUUUCUGCCAUCCAGUUGUAGAAUGGGUAAGUGAGAGAGAUUUCC
RNAcentral lists this long non-coding RNA (652 nucleotides) under Fukomys damarensis (Damara mole-rat). RNAcentral describes it as "lncRNA (ENSFDAG00000026362.1)". Lineage: Eukaryota; Metazoa; Chordata; Mammalia; Rodentia; Bathyergidae. The record is from RNAcentral.